UCUUUUUUGUUGAUUAAUUUUGCGUUUUCUCUCCCCUCCCGCUCCUCUCUUGUCGACAGGCCUCCAUCGUGUUGCAGGGCACUGCUGCUGAUCCCAGCGCUCUUCCCAAAGAGCCAUCAUCAGCCUGACGGGUGUCGUCAACUUCUAUUGUCUACUUCUGCUGUCACCUCCGGGUCACCCUGACAGUACCACAGUCCAUGUGGGCUUUGCUUUCUGCUUGGCCACCCGGACCCUUAAUGCCAGUGGCCAUGCCAGCACCAUGCAUGGUGUUUCAAUGAGGAUGCGGGGACAUUCAGGAGGCGCCGGCGUCCCGGCAGUCAGACAAAGCGUCCCACCGUGUCGAGGAGGACCUUGAAGGCCCCCGCUAGCGGGAUCAGGAGAUUUCUCUUCCAGGAUUAAUGGCUGCCGCUUUGAAUGAUUCUUGAGCACGUGGAGGCCAGCAUGUAUUAAUGGUGUACGGUGGGCACAAAGGCGAACACAGAAGAGGAAUUUAUCCCGAUGGAGGCUCUCUGCUGCUGAAUCGUGGACGCUCACGCCCGGCUGCACUCCAAUCGAUUCACUUCCCAGUGUCCACCUGCUCUUCUCCCCCAGUGCUGCUGUGGUGACUGGGGUGCCCUUUUCUUGAACUCGUACAUCACUGGUGAGGAAAGAAUUUGAUGUGACAGUUGAGGUCAAAGAAUUGGAGACUUGGAGAACAUGGCAGCCGGGCAUCUUCAGGGGGUCUCAGCAGGCAGAGCCACCACACAGCUGGGGCCAGAACAUCACUGGGAGGCCUAAAACCAAAUGGCUGUUUUUACUGAUAACAGGCUGAGGCCUCCCUUCUUGAAGGAUUUGGACCCACUCGUCCCAAUGGUGUCCCUGCUCAGGGUUUGCCAACUUGGAUCCUGCCUACUAUGCCCAAAGCAACCUCUGGCCAAUUCCCCAGUUGUGCCUUCCAUUUGUUGAGUGACAAAUACCAAGCAGCACAUCCUUUAGUUGUGGAGGACAUAUCUGAUGUGCAGGGUAUCCUUCUGAAGUGACCUUUUGGAAUUUUGUCGUCCUAUUGGUCUGCGCUUAAGCGGCCAGUGGGUAAGCAGCAGAAUAAGCCGAUGAGCCCAGUUGUCAAUCAGCUGCUACAGACGUGAAGCCAUCAGCGCAACGAAAGUAAAAUAGUCACCAGCAAACUCAACGGCCAGAAGGAAAAACACAAAUGAAGUUCCCCGAGGCUCCACGUCCUUGAGGAAACAUCUCUCUGUUCUCAGCUGGCUUUGAAAAAUCUGGGGCCAUGCCGACACUCCUCUCCUUGAAAAGGAUGUGUAACAGAAACCGCCUGGGGCAAGUAAGGCGCUAUAAAGAUGCAGAGUCGGCUGCGUGGGGGCCACCCUAACAAGUCCAUGAGCUCCUUGUCGGAAUGGUUACCUGCAAGCGGCCUUUAUGACUGGCAACUGGUCUGUCCCGGUCCAAACUGGAACAACUGAAGUGUGCCAAUCAUUUCAACUGGCGACUAUAAACUGAGGCAAAGUGAGUCCCCGUAGGUGUGUGUGUGUGCGUGUGUGUGCGCGCCAGGCGGUGGACGUGUCUUGUCUGAGGCUUAAUGCUGGUCCUGUUCUGGAGCAGACAGGAUCACUAAGUGAACAGCUGGAUGGAUAAUAUGAUAUAAUAUAAUAUAAUAUAAUAUAAUAUAACCAUUGCUGCAUGGACCAAUGGCAAUUUCAAAUAAUACAACAGAAUC
Molecule: long non-coding RNA, 1711 nt
Organism: Polypterus senegalus (gray bichir)
Lineage: Eukaryota; Metazoa; Chordata; Cladistia; Polypteriformes; Polypteridae
Exons: 3
Source: RefSeq, a predicted model, not a curated record